AACGAACGCUGGCGGCAGGGUUUAGGCAUGCAAGUCGCACGGGAAAGCCGCAAGGUGAGUACAGUGGCGUAAGGGUGAGUAAUAGAUAGCUGACCUACCCAUCGGACGCGGAUAAUUCCUCGAAAGGGGUUGUAAUACGCGAUGAGACCACGGGCCUUACGGGGUUUGUGGUCAAAGGCUGGGGAUCCUUCGGGACCUAGCGGCCGAUGGCGGGGGCGAUCUCUGAUUAGCUAGUUGGCGGGGUAACGGCCCACCAAGGCGAUGAUCAGUAGCCGGGCUGAGAGGCUGUCCGGCCACACGGGCACUGAGACACUGGCCCGACUCCUACGGGAGGCUGCAGUCGCGAAUUUUUCUCAAUGGGCGCAAGCCUGAAGAAGCCAUGCCGCGUGCGGGACGAAGGCCCUCUGGGGUUGUAAACCGCUGUCAGGGAAGGGGAAACGCUGGGUGUUAACAGCAUCCAGUUUGACUGCUCUCCAAAGGAAGCCCCCGGGCAAAAACAUGUGCCAGCAGCCGCGGUAU
Molecule: ribosomal RNA, 519 nt
Filed under: uncultured bacterium
Lineage: Bacteria
Description: bacterial SSU rRNA
Rfam family: Bacterial small subunit ribosomal RNA
Source: RNAcentral